CCAUUCCUUGCUCUCUCCUCAGCCAUCUUCCUCAUUUCUGAUGACGGCCUCCUCACAGAGAAUGUCUUUCCAGAGAAGACACAGAGCAUUAGCUCCUGUCUUCACAAACCUAUUAUUUUGACUCUACCAUUCACUACAGCCAAGACGAGACAUCAAAAUGGUGACUAGGACUAGAAGUCUUUGCUUUUCCCAAACAUUGUUCAGUUUUAGAGAAGAGCCACCUGGUGUUUUGCAUGUUGGUUUGGGGAAGAAGGACUGAGGACAGCAAGACCAACCCCUUCUCUUCCUCCUUCUCAGCCUACUCAAUGUGAAAAUGACAACGAUGAAAACCUUUAUAAUGAUCCACUUAAUAAAUGAUAAGCUCAAAUCCUACCUCACAGAGAAUCAAGAAGAGGGAGGAGUGAGGAGGGGUGAACAAGCAAUUAUGACCUGGCUUCUUCCUCAUAUGGCCACAGACCCAAUGUAUGGACACAACCAAUGUUUCCAAGGUGAUGAGUCUAGAGAAUUCUAGAAAAAAUGUCCGAAGACUGCCUACACUUAUCAUACUUCUACAGGAAGAGAAGCAAUUCCCUUACCAAUAUUUCUUGAUUUAUCCAAUAAACAUUAUUUUGGAAGGAA
Long non-coding RNA from Macaca mulatta (Rhesus monkey), 618 nucleotides. RefSeq lists it as uncharacterized. NCBI's taxonomy places the organism in Eukaryota, Metazoa, Chordata, Mammalia, Primates, Cercopithecidae. The record is from RefSeq and is a predicted model, not a curated record.